UACAGAGGGUGCGAGCGUUGUCCGGAAUCACUGGGCGUAAAGGGCGCGUAGGCGGCCUGAUAAGUAGGGGGUGAAAUCCUGUGGCUUAACUGCAGGGCUGCCUCCUAGACUGUUAGGCUCGAGCACGGUAGAGGCAGAUGGAAUUCCCGGUGUAGCGGUGGAAUGCGUAGAGAUCGGGAAGAACAUCGGUGGCGAAGGCGGGUCUCUGGGCCGAUAUUGACGCUGAGGAGCGAAAGCGUGGGGAGCAAACAGG
Molecule: ribosomal RNA, 253 nt
Filed under: uncultured bacterium
Lineage: Bacteria
Description: partial 16S ribosomal RNA
Rfam family: Bacterial small subunit ribosomal RNA
Source: RNAcentral